ACGCUCGACACCUACGGGGGCAGCAGUGGGGAAUAUUGCACAAUGGGGGAAACCCUGAUGCAGCGACGCCGCGUGAAGGAAGAAGUAUCUCGGUAUGUAAACUUCUAUCAGCAGGGAAGAAAAUGACGGUACCUGACUAAGAAGCCCCGGCUAACUACGUGCUAGCAGCCGCGGUAAUCUGAGCGGGCUGGCAAGGC
RNAcentral lists this ribosomal RNA (197 nucleotides) under uncultured bacterium. RNAcentral's name for it is "partial 16S ribosomal RNA". It matches the Rfam family "Bacterial small subunit ribosomal RNA", at positions 328 to 539 of the family's 1533-position model. The record is from RNAcentral.